Molecule: ribosomal RNA, 1533 nt
Filed under: metagenome
Description: bacterial SSU rRNA
Rfam family: Bacterial small subunit ribosomal RNA
Source: RNAcentral
AGAGUUUGAUUCUGGCUCAGAACGAACGCUGGCGGCGUGGAUAAGACAUGCAAGUGGGACGCUAAUCAAUAGGUAGCAAUAUUCGUUGGUUGGAGUCGCGUAAGGGUGCGUAACACGUGGGUAAUUUGCCGUGAAGCUCGGAAUAACUUGCCGAAAGGUAAGCUAAUACCGAAUGUGACUUGUGCUGGGCAUCCAGUAUCAGUCAAAGCCGGGGAUCGUAAGACCUGGCACUUCAUGAUAAGCCCGCGGCCUAUCAGCUAGUUGGUGAGGUAACGGCUCACCAAGGCUUAGACGGGUAGCUGGUCUUAGAGGACGACCAGCCACACUGGAACUGAGACACGGUCCAGACACCUACGGGUGGCAGCAGUCGAGAAUUUUUCACAAUGGGCGAAAGCCUGAUGGAGCGACGCCGCGUGGGGGAUGAAUGGCUUCGGCCCGUAAACCCCUGUCAUUCGGGAUCAAAUCUGGCAACCUAAUACGUUGUCAGUUGAUAGUACUGAAAGAGGAAGGGACGGCUAACUCUGUGCCAGCAGCCGCGGUAAUACAGAGGCCCCAAGCGUUGUUCGGAUUUACUGGGCGUAAAGGGAGCGUAGGUGGCAUUCCAAGUCUGAUGUGAAAGCUCUGAGCUUAACUCAGAAAUGGCAUUAGAUACUGGUUUGCUUGAGGAUUGGAGGGGAGAUUGGAAUUCUUGGUGUAGCAGUGAAAUGCGUAGAUAUCAAGAGGAACACCAGUGGCGAAGGCGAAUCUCUGGACAAUUCCUGACACUGAUGCUCGAAAGCUAGGGGAGCAAACGGGAUUAGAUACCCCGGUAGUCCUAGCUGUAGACGGUGCACGCUUGCUGUAGGUGGAAUCGACCCCGCCUGUAGCGAAGCUAACGCGUUAAGCGUGCCGCCUGGGAAGUACGGUCGCAAGAUUAAAACUCAAAGAAAUUGACGGGGGCCUGCACAAGCGGUGGAGUAUGUGGCUCAAUUCGAUUCAACGCGAAGAACCUUACCUGGCCUUGACAUGCAAGUAGUAGAAGCCUGAAAGGGUGACGAGGUAGCAAUACCAGCUUGCACAGGUGCUGCAUGGCUGUCGUCAGCUCGUGUCGUGAGAUGUUGGGUUAAGUCCCGCAACGAGCGCAACCCCUGUGUCCUGUUGCUCCCGGAUAAUACCGGUGCACUCUGGACAGACUGCCUCGCUUAAACGAGGAGGAAGGUGGGGAUGACGUCAAGUCAGGAUGGCCCUUACGGCCAGGGCUGCACACGUACUACAAUGCCCAGUACAAAGGGAAGCGAGGCGGCAACGCCAAGCAAAUCCUCAAAACUGGGCCCAGUUCAGAUUGUCGUCUGCAACUCGACGGCAUGAAGCCGGAAUCGCUAGUAAUGGCGCAUCAGCUACGGCGCCGUGAAUACGUUCCCAGGCCUUGUACACACCGCCCGUCACAUCAUGAAAGCCGGUCGCACCCGAAGUCGCCCUUUAACAGGCGCCGAAGGUAUGGCUGGUGAUUGGGAUGAAGUCGUAACAAGGUAGCCGUAGGGGAACCUGCGGCUG